UACGGAGGGAGCUAGCGUUGUUCGGAAUUACUGGGCGUAAAGCGCACGUAGGCGGCUUUGCAAGUUAGAGGUGAAAGCCCGGGGCUCAACUCCGGAAUUGCCUUUAAAACUGCAUCGCUAGAGUUGUGGAGAGGUAAGUGGAAUUCCGAGUGUAGAGGUGAAAUUCGUAGAUAUUCGGAAGAACACCAGUGGCGAAGGCGACUUACUGGACACAUACUGACGCUGAGGUGCGAAAGCGUGGGGAGCAAACAGGG
RNAcentral lists this ribosomal RNA (254 nucleotides) under uncultured bacterium. Its description in RNAcentral is "partial 16S ribosomal RNA". It matches the Rfam family "Bacterial small subunit ribosomal RNA", at positions 524 to 777 of the family's 1533-position model. The record is from RNAcentral.